Molecule: ribosomal RNA, 240 nt
Filed under: Escherichia coli
Lineage: Bacteria; Pseudomonadati; Pseudomonadota; Gammaproteobacteria; Enterobacterales; Enterobacteriaceae
Description: partial 16S ribosomal RNA
Rfam family: Bacterial small subunit ribosomal RNA
Source: RNAcentral
AAAUUGAAGAGUUUGAUCAUGGCUCAGAUUGAACGCUGGCGGCAGGCCUAACACAUGCAAGUCGAACGGUAACAGGAAGAAGCUUGCUUCUUUGCUGACGAGUGGCGGACGGGUGAGUAAUGUCUGGGAAACUGCCUGAUGGAGGGGGAUAACUACUGGAAACGGUAGCUAAUACCGCAUAACGUCGCAAGACCAAAGAGGGGGACCUUCGGGCCUCUUGCCAUCGGAUGUGCCCAGAUG